Molecule: long non-coding RNA, 322 nt
Filed under: Prunus persica (peach)
Lineage: Eukaryota; Viridiplantae; Streptophyta; Magnoliopsida; Rosales; Rosaceae
Description: long non-coding RNA (PPER_LNC007689)
Source: RNAcentral
CCUCAUAAUCCUCAAUUAUCUCAUUCGCGACACUUUCUAACAAAAGAGGAGGGUCACCAGCGAAGUUGAGAUUGAGCUUUUGCUAAGGUUGAAGAGCUUGAAAUAGUAGACUAAAUCCACCAUCUCCAAGCCCACCUACUUGUCUUGCAGGACGAUGAACUCUUUUGAUGAACUAUAUUUGUCUGACCGCUUCCCUCGCAGCAUUCUGAAGUUCAGCAACCUUGGACCUCUUGGCCUCCUCCAAGACUACUUGCACUACCUCCUUCAUUGCCUCGGCCUUCCUGGCAGUCUGCACUGUCGCCUCAUCUCGGCAAGCUUGUCC